Molecule: ribosomal RNA, 245 nt
Filed under: uncultured bacterium
Lineage: Bacteria
Description: partial 16S ribosomal RNA
Rfam family: Bacterial small subunit ribosomal RNA
Source: RNAcentral
GCAAGUCGAACGAAGAGAGAUUUAGUUUACUAAUGAUCUCUUAGUGGCGGACGGGUUAGUAACGCGUGAGCAACCUGCCUUAAAGAGGGGGAUAGUCCUGGGAAACUGGGUUUAAUACCGCAUAUGAUCUUCGGAUUAAAGCUGGCUUCGGCUGGCGCUUUAAGAUGGGCUCGCGUCCUAUCAGCUUGUUGGUGAGGUAAAGGCUCACCAAGGCUACGACGGGUAGUUGGUCUGAGAGGAUGAUC